AAACCGUAGUGGGGACAUUCUCUUAUAUACCCUUUAUAGCGAUCCCAAGCUUCAUGGAAAAAUUCACCUUUUUGUUGGAACUUAUAAUUCUUGUCUCUAAAGAGGCU
Molecule: small nucleolar RNA, 107 nt
Organism: Eutrema salsugineum
Lineage: Eukaryota; Viridiplantae; Streptophyta; Magnoliopsida; Brassicales; Brassicaceae
Rfam family: Plant small nucleolar RNA R71
About the family: R71 is a member of the C/D box family of snoRNAs containing the C (UGAUGA) and D (CUGA) box motifs. Multiple nearly identical copies of this snoRNA have been identified in Arabidopsis, and it is thought to function as a 2'-O-ribose methylation guide for 18S ribosomal RNA.
Source: Rfam